CGAACGACUUUAUUUCGAACUUCUUCCAGACUUCGUCAAUGUCUGAGCUUCUCCAACAGUAGAACUUCUACAGUAACAAGACUCCAUCCAAGUUUCUACGAUGGUCGACCACCUUUCGGAUUUCGUCCGAGCUCCUACAAGAGCCGGAUCCCAGCCGAACUUCUACAGCGGAUGGAUUCCAGAUAAAUUUCUACAACGGACGGGCUCCACCAGCUGGAUCUCUACUCCAAACUUCUAUUGCAAGUGGACUUCAUCCGAGCUUCUACAACAAGAAGUCUUCAUUCGAGCUUCUAUGGCAACCGAUCUUCGUCCGAGCUUCUAUAAUAAGCGGCCUCCUUUCAGACUCCUACAAGAGCCGAACUCCAUCCGAACUUCUACGACAGAAUGAAAUUUUGGACUCCUCCAAUGUUUGACCUUCCACAGUGUCCUCAAGACUUCUCCAGUGGACAAACCU
RNAcentral lists this long non-coding RNA (454 nucleotides) under Elaeis guineensis (African oil palm). RNAcentral describes it as "long non-coding RNA (EGUI_LNC082004)". Lineage: Eukaryota; Viridiplantae; Streptophyta; Magnoliopsida; Arecales; Arecaceae. The record is from RNAcentral.